AGGGGGAAAGAAUUGAAUAGCAUUUCUUCAGAGAAGACAUAGAAGUAGUCACUCAGAGCAUGAAAAGAUGCUCAACGUCUUUAGUCAUUAGGGAAAUACAAACCAAAACCAUAAGGAAAUAACACACUUAUACACUAUGGCUAAAAUAGAAGAAAUCACCAGACAGUGGCAAGAUGCAUGUGUAGCUCUAUAUCUGUGUACUUUUUCAACACUGUGUAAUCGAGCCACGUGUAGAACUAGCUAUAUUUGGUUUUCACUGCCAUAGCAUAUUGGUUUACUAAGGCCUUUACCACAUCCUGUCUGCCUCAUUAGUCUUUGAAACCAUGUGACACUGGCAAAGUAGCUCAUCAUUUUCUCUUUUCUGAAGUUAAGGAAGAAGAUCUGGAGGAUGGACUAGAUAUUUUCAAAUUGUUUGAAAAUAGCUCAAGAAUUCUGUGACCCUUCUUUUGUUGAAAAUACAAGAUCUCAACUGAGCAGCGGUGGCCGGCCUAAGGGCCAGCGCGCAACAGCACUCACCGCUGCAUGGAUCCCCAUGCACUGGGGGCCCUCCCUCCGGGAGCCUACGAGGCAGGAAGCUAGCCAGCUGGAAGACCGGC
Long non-coding RNA from Chinchilla lanigera (long-tailed chinchilla), 596 nucleotides. RefSeq lists it as uncharacterized. The transcript is spliced from 3 exons. NCBI's taxonomy places the organism in Eukaryota, Metazoa, Chordata, Mammalia, Rodentia, Chinchillidae. The record is from RefSeq and is a predicted model, not a curated record.